AUAGCUGAUUGCACCAACAAAUAGUUGAUGCAAUAUUGACUCUGUCAAAUAAAAUUCUAGGUAGAAUUAUGAUAAUGACAUUGUCUGCCUAUAUGUCUUGACCAAAUUACGUGCCAGCAGUCGCGGUAAUACGUAGAAGACUAGUGUUAUUCAUCUUUAAUAGGUUUAAAGGGUACCUAGACGGUAAAUCAAGCCUUCACAGGGACUAAUUUACUAGAGUUACUUACGAGGGGGUAUUAAAGUACUGCAGGUGUAGAGAUGAAAUUCUGUCAUACCUCUUUUCAAAAGAAAAAUUAUGGCACAGGUAUAGGUGAAAGCAUCCCCUUAUGUGAUAACUGACGUUGAAGGACGAAGGCUUUGUGUCGCGAACAGGAUUAGAUACCCCAGUAGUCAAAGCAGAAAAUGAUGAAUGUCAUAGAUUAGAUAAAUAGUUUAUUCUAUAAAUGAAAAUGUAAGCAUUCCACCUCAAGAGUAAUUUGGCAACAUUGGAACUGAAAUCAUUAGACCGUUUCUGAAACCAGUAGUGAAGUAUGUUGUUUAAUUUGAUGAUCCGCAAAAAACCUUACCACAAUUUGAAUAUUUAUAUCUAUCUUUUUUUUUCAUAAAAAAAUAAAAAGGUAAUAUAUUUACAAGCGUUGCACGGCUGUCUUCAGUUAAUGUCGCGAGACUUUGGUUAGUUCCAUUAAAUUAACGUAAACCCUUACUUUAUUUUUAUAUGAAGUAGUUCCCCGCUAUAUUGGAUAUGAUAACA
RNAcentral lists this ribosomal RNA (751 nucleotides) under Lepraria elobata. Its description in RNAcentral is "SSU rRNA". It matches the Rfam family "Bacterial small subunit ribosomal RNA", at positions 378 to 1150 of the family's 1533-position model. Lineage: Eukaryota; Fungi; Ascomycota; Lecanoromycetes; Lecanorales; Stereocaulaceae. The record is from RNAcentral.